GAUGAACGCUGGCGGCGUGCCUAAUACAUGCAAGUCGAGCGAACAGAUGAGGAGCUUGCUCCUCUGACGUUAGCGGCGGGCGGGUGAGUAACACGUGGAUAACCUACCUAUAAGACUGGGAUAACUUCGGGAAACCGGAGCUAAUACCGGAUAAUAUAUUGAACCGCAUGGUUCAAUAGUGAAAGACGGUUUUGCUGUCACUUAUAGAUGGAUCCGCGCCGCAUUAGCUAGUUGGUAAGGUAACGGCUUACCAAGGCAACGAUGCGUAGCCGACCUGAGAGGGUGAUCGGCCACACUGGAACUGAGACACGGUCCAGACUCCUACGGGAGGCAGCAGUAGGGAAUCUUCCGCAAUGGGCGAAAGCCUGACGGAGCAACGCCGCGUGAGUGAUGAAGGCCUUCGGAUCGUAAAACUCUGUUAUUAGGGAAGAACAAAUGUGUAAGUAACUAUGCACGUCUUGACGGUACCUAAUCAGAAAGCCACGGCUAACUACGUG
RNAcentral lists this ribosomal RNA (497 nucleotides) under uncultured bacterium. Its description in RNAcentral is "partial 16S ribosomal RNA". It matches the Rfam family "Bacterial small subunit ribosomal RNA", at positions 28 to 507 of the family's 1533-position model. The record is from RNAcentral.